This 493-nucleotide ribosomal RNA is filed under the name uncultured bacterium. RNAcentral's name for it is "partial 16S ribosomal RNA". It matches the Rfam family "Bacterial small subunit ribosomal RNA", at positions 30 to 507 of the family's 1533-position model. The record is from RNAcentral.
AUUGAACGCUGGCGGCAUGCUUUACACAUGCAAGUCGAACGGCAACGAGGAGAAGCUUGCUUCUCUGUCGGCGAGUGGCGAACGGGUGAGUAUAGCAUCGGAACGUGCCAAGUAGUGGGGGAUAACCAAACGAAAGUUUGGCUAAUACCGCGUAAGCUCCAAGGAGGAAAGUAGGGGACCUAAAUAAGGCCUUACGCUAUUUGAUCGGCCGAUGUCGGAUUAGCUAGUUGGUGGGGUAAUGGCUCACCAAGGCAAUGAUCCGUAGCGGGUCUGAGAGGACGAUCAGCCACACUGGGACUGAGACACGGCCCAGACUCCUACGGGAGGCAGCAGUGGGGAAUUUUGGACAAUGGGGGAAACCCUGAUCCAGCCAUGCCGCGUGUAUGAAGAAGGCCUUAGGGUUGUAAAGUACUUUUGUUAGGGAAGAAAAGCUAGUUUUUAAUAAAAAUUAGUGAUGACGGUACCUAAAGAAUAAGCACCGGCUAACUACGUG